This 115-nucleotide ribosomal RNA is filed under the name Bacillus vallismortis. The record is from RNAcentral. Lineage: Bacteria; Bacillati; Bacillota; Bacilli; Caryophanales; Bacillaceae. RNAcentral also lists the same sequence under 2 other names.
UGGUGGCGAUAGCGAAGAGGUCACACCCGUUCCCAUGCCGAACACGGAAGUUAAGCUCUUCAGCGCCGAUGGUAGUCGGGGGUUUCCCCCUGUGAGAGUAGGACGCCGCCAAGCA